CCUACGGGUGGCAGCAGUGGGGAAUAUUGCACAAUGGGGGAAACCCUGAUGCAGCAACGCCGCGUGAGUGAUGACGGCCUUCGGGUUGUAAAGCUCUGUCUUCAGGGACGAUAAUGACGGUACCUGAGGAGGUAGCCACGGCUAACUACGUGCCAGCAGCCGCGGUAAUACGGAGGUGGCGAGCGUUGUCCGGAUUUACUGGGCGUAAAGGGAGCGUAGGCGGACUUUUAAGUGAGAUGUGAAAUACUCGGGCUCAACUUGAGUGCUGCAUUUCAAACUGGAAGUCUAGAGUGCUGGAGAGGUAAGUGGAAUUCCUAGUGUAGCGGUGAAAUGCGUAGAUAUUAGGAGGAACACCAGUGGCGAAGGCGGCUUACUGGACAGUAACGGACGUUGAGGCUCGAAAGCGUGGGGAGCAAACAGGAUUAGAUACCCCUGUAGUC
RNAcentral lists this ribosomal RNA (440 nucleotides) under uncultured bacterium. RNAcentral's name for it is "partial 16S ribosomal RNA". It matches the Rfam family "Bacterial small subunit ribosomal RNA", at positions 338 to 795 of the family's 1533-position model. The record is from RNAcentral.